CGCCGCUGCCGCGGCUCCUUGCAUGCUGUGGCCCGGGUGGGUGCCAGCGCUGCCGCGCCGCCCGCGCCUGGCAUCCCGAGCGGCCUCCUGCGUCCCGGCCCGGCUCGCAGUCUCCCCUAUGAUUGACAUCUCACAUUGCUGUGGCUCCGGAUACAGUAUGAAAACUGAGUCAAAGGUGUUCAUGAGAAAAAUGCACAAAAUCCCGACUGACCGGAAUAAUUCAUGAAGAAGGGGCUGAAUCCGUGGGUCAGAGAACACAGGACCAGUUUGCCAUCCCAAGGCGGAAGUCUGGUGACUCGGAUUUGGCCCUGCGUUUCCCACUCCUGCUGCAUCUUACCCAGUCGAGGAACGAAAGGUCUUGACACCUUCCUGAAGCAUGGGAAGAAAGGAGGUUCUGAAAGCACAGAUCCAAGACCACCAGAGGCCGGGGACAGCGAUUCCUGGAGGGGCCGCUCACACAACACCAGGAGCUGAGGAGAACUGGAGCAGGAGGAACAUGGGCCCAACAAGGGUGGAAAUACCAGCAAUUCCAAAAGUCAUCUACAUCAGUGCCCAGGACGCCCAUGCAGAACCCACUGAAUGGAAGAAAACGUGGUGGCUGCUUCCUCAAUUUGCAACUGCAGAAGCUGGAAUAAGGGCCUGAGAAGGCAGAGAAGCCACAUGAGUCCAGUCCCAAAGCUGUCAGAGUAACCCUGAGGGAACUGUCUACUGAAUUAUGACCAGUUGUGCCAACAGACAUUGAGAAGAGACCUCCUUUCCAUUGGCUCCUAUCACACCUGGCUGCCACUGCUCCUGGGAUCUGGACCAUCUUGUAUCCACCUUUGAGCGUCACUUCCUGUUUCAGCUGUGGGAGUUCUGGUCCACUUUCCCUGUGAAGAAACCUUCACUUUUUCCUCCUUUGGAGUUCUGGAUUAGACUCUUGUACCUGGAACUGGGUCAAGUUAGGCUAAACGCACCUCUAGGCAUUCCUGUUUCUCAGAAGUUGUCAAGUUCACAUCAUACCUGUUUCAUUGGUGACCAGGGGUCCACUUCUAGCAGAUGCUACCUGGCCUGGUCAGUAUUUUUCAUGGUCAUCUCUUUAGUGCCUUUAUCUCAUCCCCUGCCCAACUCAGGUGAGACUUGCCCAGUGGUGACUUCUCUCCUGGUACUUUAGAUAGGGAGAGAAAAUGUGGCUUGGUGGAUCUGCCAUCUUCUUCAGUUUGGAGGCAAUUGGAGCAUGGCUCCAUCUAGGGAGGAAAAUGACUCCGAAAGAGACUGUCCUUAUCUCAGCUUCUGCCCUGUUCUACUCUCACAAUCCUUAUUCUUGCCCUUUGUGCCUGUCCUAAUGCAGGAGAAUUGUGGUUUUCUUUUUUCUAUUAAAUAUAACUGUAGCUAUUUUCAUUAUUGCAAAACAGCACAAGCUUAUUACGAAAACAUGAGAAAUAUAGACAAUAGAAGACAAAAAAUAUUCCCAAAUUUUAUCCCAAAGACAAGACAACUAUUGAUUCAUAUAGUUAUACAAUAUCAUACACAUAUACUACAUAUAUUUAUAUAUUUAAUGUGACUAUAAUAUCACAAUACCAUUUAUAUUCUUUGAUAACACAUCUUGUCAUUUAAUGUCUUAUGAAUAUAUUUCUAUAGCAACAAGCUCAGCUAUACUGAAAUUUUAAGAGUACUCAAUUGUAUAUAUGCCCUCAUUUAUCUCAUCUCACAUAGUUUAAUGUUUAGGCUGUUACCUCCUUUUCUAUAUUGUCAUUAAUGAUCAUGGAUUUAGUUUAAUCUUCCUAUAAUUAUUUCCGUAAGGUAAAUCCUUAGAAAGGGAUCGAAGGAUGAGUAGUAAAGGUUGCAAAGCUCUCCGAAUCUGGAGCCAGCAAUAACUGCUCAGACUCCCUUAAAAAUAAGAGCUCUAGGAAGGCCACACAUGCCCUUUCCCAGAUUCCUUCCCAUAGCUACACUUGGGCAGCCCUGACUUCUUUCACCUUGCCCUGAACGGAGAAUAGCCCUGAGAGAUGGCUGAGGAACAGGUAGUGAAUGAGCGAGUGGUGGUGUCAGUUUGGGUUUGGUUUUUGGAUAAACUUCACAGUUCCUCAUUGGAUGCUGAGAAAUGAUUAUUCAUUCAUGACCCAUUUAUGGAAGAGCCAUUGCUUCCAGAUGCCAGGCUAGAGGCUGAGAAGACAGAGAUGGAUUAAACAGGAAUUCUUCUCUCAGGAAUAGCACAGCCUAGGGAAGGAAGGCCCGUGAUAGACAGCACACAUUUACUCCAUGAUAAAGAGGAAACGUAUAAGAUCAGUAAUAUAUCUCAGGGAAGAAAACUGGAACCAUCUAAAAUCCCACAGGGAAAAUAUGAGGUUCCUGCAGUCUACUAGCCCAUUCAUCUCAGCUAACACCUUUGUGUGGAUCCUUUGGUGGUGAGACUUGCUCGCUUGUGGUCAUCCUUGCUAAACACAACCUGCCCAAAGGCAUUGACCGUGUCCUUCCUUUGCACCUCUAGCAAACUGGUACCAUCUUAUACCAUGGCUUCUGAAAUCUGUUCAGUGUAAAAUCCAAAUUAGAGUAAACAAAAUUAAAGGUAAAGAGAUUCAUGAGUUGAAACAAAGACUCAAUGUUUUAUGUAUGUAAGAAAAUUUGCAUUAAUUCAUAUCCUUCUGCCUGAUAGAAACUUUCUCAGAUAUUUCAUUAUAGAAGAAACAAUCACAUUCCAGAAAAUGUGGGAAGUAGAGAAAAGGAGAAUUAUCAGCCCAUCUCACCAUCCUAACCCAGGGCAAAUAGCAUUCUAGUGACCUUUGCCCUGAAAAAUUUGUAUUAAGAUGGUGUUGAGGACAAGAGCUAAGGAACAUGUGAGUUUUUCAUCUCCAAUUUUAUUGUGAAUAAAUAUAUCUGAUAGUGAAUUAUAUUCAUGUAGUUCAAAAUUCAAAAACACAAAAACAGAGACUGAAAAGUCCAUGAACCCCAGCCUCUAUUACUUGGAGACAUCCAGGAGUCUCAGUGUCUUGUGUAUCCUUCUAGAGUUUUUGUGCAUAUUAAACCAUGCGUGUUUAUAAAAUAUGAGUUUUGACUAGAGGGCUUUGGCAAAACUGUUACCAAAUGUCCUAAAUUUAGCUAAACUAUCUUCAGUAAUUUUAAUGGCAGGCCUGAGGUACAGAUGGAGAAGAGAAAAGGAUGGAGAGAGCGAGAGAGAGAGAGAGAGAGAGAGAGAGUGCUCCUGAGGGAGAGCGUGAAAGAAAGAGCAAUCUUUCAUUUAUCCAACUAGUAUUUAUUGAGCAGAUAUUACAUCUCAGAUAUUAUUCUAUGCCCAGGUGAUACAAGAGUGAAAAAAAUUCCCUGACUUCAUGGGGAUUAAGAAUGGAAGGUGGCAAACAAUAACCAUAAUCAAAAAGUAAAUUAUAAAGUCCAUCAGAAUGUGAUAAGCGUUAUGGAAAAACACAAGUGGGGUCCAGGAGAUGAGGCACAUCAGGAGACAGUUUUAACAUGAGUGGUCAGGGAGGGCUUCACUGAGGAGGCCUUAAAGGAGGCGAGAAGAUGGGCCCUGCAGAUACUCAGGGAAAGGGCACUGCAGAGGGAAGAAGCAAUGCACAGGCCUCGCAGCAGAAGUCAAGGCCUGGAGGUUUCCAGCAGCCAACCUCCUCCAGCUCCGGGCUGUUCCUGGUAACCUGUGCCCGCAGCUGGCUUCCCUUGGAGUUCAGGUCAGGCCGGUGUGUUUGGGCCAUAGUGCUAAGCUUACUGUAUACUAGACGUCAGUUUGUCUUCUCUCUAAAUUUUGAUUCUGAUGCUUAAUUUGACUCCUUCCAAGGUGAUUCUGUGGUUAGUCUGAAUAAGGAAAGGAGAGGGGCAGUGUUAUUGUAGUAGGUAGACAAGGUUGACAUUUGGGGGUCCUGGCUUUUAAACCAAUUCUGUUUUCAAGUCUUUUGUCAGACACAUUAUUCAACCUUUCCGGUCCUCAGGUUUGUCUCUUAGGAAACAAAAAGAAUGUGCUUAGUUGGCUUUAGGGCUGUCCCUACCAUUGGUUUUCAAGCUCUGUGACCAUGUGAGCAGUCCAGGUAGGAAGUGGCAUCAGAUGACAUCUAGCAACACCAGGGGACACAGAGGAGCUUCUGCCUGCAGAGGACUGUGUGCAUGAUAUGUGCCGCCACCUCGUUUCCCUUCUAGACUAGAAGAGCCCAGACCAGAAGAGCCCAGACCAUCCUUCAAAUAGAAUAUUUCACCUGAAUAAGCCCAGAAUUCCCUAAGUGAACAGAGGAGACAUGGGGACACGGUUAAUUGCUUUGUUCUUGUGCCGUUGGCAGUAUGGUUCCCUUUAAGCCCAGAAGGGCUCCUUUCCCCUGCCCCUUGGCGGAGCUCAUUCUCCAUAGGCAGUAGGGGUGGCAUGCUGGGGCCAGGGCUCCUUGUUUUGUUCCUUUGGGCCACAGAGGUCCCCUCCCUGUUUAGUGUCUUCCAGUUGGACACAGGGAGUCUUCGUCUACCUGGGGAAUAAGACACUGAGGAGGAGGGAAGCGUGUCAUGGACACCACUCUCCUUCCAGCAAAGUCACUGUGAAUUUAAAACUCAGACUGUGUGUAAGAGGUUGUGGGGGCAGAAAGGGGCCUUUGGAAAUUUCAUUUGGAGGCAGAGGUGCUAAACAUGAAUAGAAGCCUUUGCUUUGACUCUCAGAGGGUGAGUCACCUUGGUUAUAGUUACUCUUGGUUAUUCCUUGCUUUUUCUUUUGUUAUCUCCGCCCGCACCCCCGCCAUACCCACCCAUCUUUAGCAUUCUUAGCUGCUUUUCUACAGGUCAGCUGAAAAGUGACUUGCAGAAUAGGGCUUCUCUUCCCCUAUUGGAGUUCAUGGGCAUUAUGUUUCCUAGCACUGGGAGGAAAUAUACACGACCAUGCACUUUCCACUCAUAAAGGACCCUGAGGUAUUUAAUUGUGAAAAUCAACUUCUGAUUUAUGUUACUUUCCCAGUGCCUUUUCUUUACACACAUAUGAAAAUUGCUCUAUUACUUCUUACAUUUCAUGCAGUGCCCUUUGUCUCCAUCAACUGUUGUGGAGAGAAAUUUUAUUUGGAAUAUUCAUAACAAGUCUAUCGCUAAUUAUCACUUUAACAAUGUGUUAUGGAGUGUAUCCAUGCAGUCAUCUGGAAAAGCACAUAUGCCAUGAAAUUUGGGGACUUGCUGUGUGCUGUAGGUGCCCAGUCUCAGUGUUUCAUCAGAUCUUUGCUUGGGGAGGAGGUAGAGGUGCUUUGUGAGGGAGUAUGGAGGCCUGCAUCCUGCAUUCCUGUCCUCAUAGCAACAGUUUCCAGGGUGACUUGUUUUUGAGUGUAAAAAAAACCUUAAUGUGAAACAAAAACCCUUCCCUACUCUGCAGCCCUAUUACGGUCAGCCCAGGUCAGUGCCAGGUAGACUGAUCUUAGCCACAGAGCUAAUCGCAGAUGAAGACCCUGCUGUUCUUGGUGCCAUCCUGGCACUCUGGCAAGAAGAGUGGAGCUAAAAUUGCCACCUGGUUGGCAGGCCUCAGAAGCAAAUGGAGAGUGACCUCAGCAUGUCAGAAUGAGAAAGGAAAGAAUGCCUCGGUGUUUCUUUCUUCCUGCUCUCUUUUCUCUGGGAAAGGAGAAUGGACUCACACUGGGUUUCUUCUCCAGGAUUCUCAGUGAGUCUGGGAUUUGGGAGGCUAGAAUCAUAUUUUUACCAGGACACAUGGAGCGCUUCCCUCUGAAGCUUCCUGAUGGACAUGGAUGAAGCCCCAGAGGCUGCCUCCAAAUGAGGGCAGAGUAAUGGAGCCUAAUGGAGCACAGCUCCUAGUCUGAGCACAGUCCUACCGCAGGGAUAAAUCAAGCAGCCUUUAGGUGGGGCCAGGAAGGGGACAGAGGGAAAUGAAUGACUGUGUUGAGCUCAGCAUGACUUUGUGGAUCCUCUGAAGCUUUUAACUAAGUGGAGGAUUCAGACUCAGGAAUUUACUGAGGAAUAUGACUUGGAAGGAUGGAAAGUUGCAUCUGUUAUAACAAGCUUUUAAGGAUGAGUUUUCAGAGCACUUGGAGCCUGGUUUUGUUGGAUGUUACUUUAGAAAUAAUAACUACUUAUUAUUUGUUAAGUGCUUACUCAGUACUAGGCACAUUGUUCAUCAUAAUCAAUAAUACCUAACAUUGAUGGAGUAUUUGUGAUGUACCAAACUCUCAAGCACUUUAGAUUCUGACUUAACUAGGUCCUAGAAGGAAGCCCCCAUUGGAGUCAUCACUAAUAUGUAGAGAAAUUGAGGCUCAGGGUAUUAGAUAACUUACCAGAAACACUAAGGAAACCAGUAGCUUUAGGUCAGUCACUUACCUGUUUCAGGACACAGAGCACAGAGGCUUUCCCCCUUUACCCUUUAUGAAACAGCAGGAGAGGACGGGGGCUGUAUCUCAGUGGUAGAGCUCUUGCCUAGCGUGUGCAAGGCUCUGGGUUUGAUCCCUUGUACCACAAAAACAAAACAACCAUAACAACAGCAAAACCAGCAGGAGAAAGUGCUGAGAAACAGCAAGAAAGUGGGGCACUGAAAGGGGACAGGAGUCUGUGUAGCCCUGGGUCAGUGCUGGUACAAAGCUGGCCUUAUGACCUGGGUGCUUUGCAUCUGUUAUAAUGCACUGUGAAAACCCAGUGUUAGCUGUUGUCCUAAAGAACUGAUUCAAUAAACCCUACAUUUCUGGACAUUUGGUUUCCUUGUUUCUAUUUGGGUGGCACUAGGAUUUGGGAGGAGCUAGUUGGGAAUGUAUUUAAGGAGGAAAACUUUGGAUGUGGUUUUAGAAACAAGGCACCACAACCAGACUGUGAUGCAGGCUUCAUCUGUGGACAGGUGUAUGUGGACAGGUGCAUUGUGCAGGCACCAGCGCGGGCAGAGGAAGUGGUAGGUUUGAAGGUAGCAAAAUAGGGCGGCUUUGUUGUUGUCUGGCAUGGGCCCUGCCAGGCCACAUCCAUUAACUAUGCCAACACCACUGCUAAUAGGUGGGUGAUUCAGCUCCUUCCUGCAUUUUAUUGCCCAACAGAGACUUUAAUAGCCUUUUGAUUUAGCAAGUUAACAAAGUAAGCUCUCAAGCUCCACUGUUUAACACCAGCUGGAUGACCCUGGGCCUGCUGCUGCCUGGAGCCCUCUGGUACAGUCUUUGCAUUGAAAGAAGAGAAAGCUGUGGAAUUUUCAGGCUCUCCUCGAGAGCUCCUUUUGGGGCAGCCCUGCCAGCCCAGCAUGCUUAGACCCCUCCGAUGUCAUAUGUCGCCCCCGCCCCCAUCAGUCCAGCCGCAGAAGAGAUCUGUCUAGAAGUUAAUAUCCCAGGAACCUAAAGGUUGGGUGUCUUUGAGGAAGAGUGUCAGAUGAGAAUGUGAGGGUUCCCGGAUGGGGCUCUUUAUUGAUUUCCUGGAACUAUUGUGUAACAAAUUAUCACAAACUGGAUAAUUUAAACAAUAAACACAUUCUACCACAGUUCUAAAAGCCAGAAGUUUGAACUCAAGGUGUUGGUAGGGCCAUGCUCCCUCAGAAGGCCCUAGAGAAGGACCUUUGCAUGUCUCUUACUGGCUUCUGGUGGUUGCCAGUGAUCCUUACUGUCCCUUAGCUCGUAGACACAUCACUCUGUCUCUGCCUCUGUGGCCACACAGCCUUCUCCCUGUGUACGUCUUAUAAGGACACAAGCUGUAUUGGAUUUGGGGUCCACACAACUCCAGGAUGCUCUCAUCUUAACUAGUUACAGCUGGAAAGGCCCUGUUUGAAAGCAACAUAAGAGUCUGAGGUUCUGGGUGGACCUGAAUGUCCAGGCCCUUUAAAAGCAAGUGAAAAGAGGUAGGCCAUGUGGUAGCUGAUUCACACAGCUAGAGAGAGGUGGUUUCAGACAACACUUUCUGGUACAACUUUGUGCAGUGAUGGGAAGGCCCUGUAGCUGCACUGCUGAAAAUGUGGCUAAUGCGACAGAGGAACUGAAUUUAGCAUUGUGAUUGAUUUAAAUUAAGUUAAACAGUCAAGUCAUGUGACCAGGGGCUACUGUUGCAGAGAGCAAAGCCCUCAACCAGUGAAGGUGAACCUUUUAGAAACUGAGUGCCCAAACUGCAACAUAGAACCUACUUAUUUAUCGCAAAGUGCCAACACUGCCAUUAAACCCGAAUACUGAGGCUUUAGUUUAGAAAAGACAACUCAUAUAAUAAUAUCUUUUGUCUUGAAAGAAAAACAAAUAACACACGUGUCAUAGGUUCACCACCGCUGCCCUAAACCCUCCUGAGUGUGGAAUAGGAGAAGGAGACGUGAAGGCUGUCAAAGUCUGGGCAGGGCCAUUUGCAUCCAGGAUGGCCAUCAGCUGUUUAGGAUGCUGAUCAAGGUCUGCAGGGGUCUCUUUCCGUCUCCGGCUAGAGGAAGGACAUCACAUGGGAUCUCAGCACACAGGACAAUGGUCUCGGGAGUUCUUAAACCAGCAGCACCUCUUCCAAAGGAAGUCAUUUGUACUUUUGACAUGUAGGACCAUUAGUUGGAAGAGAGGCUGAUUUGGAUGGAGGUCAGAGACCUUCAUAGGGUUCCACCUUGCCUUCUCUUGAACCCUGAACCACAAAGUGAGGAAAUUAUGGUUGAGCCUACCAACCAUGUGAGAGAACAAGAAAUGGAGGUUCAGAGAAGUAGAGAAACUUAACAAGGUCACAGAGCAAGUGGUUUGAUGAAUAUCGUUAUCUUUGGAUUUCUGAGGAUCCAUUCCUGGGUCCUUCUAAAGUCCUUGAUGCCCUUUUUGAAAGAAGAUACUCAGUCUACUAGUCAGCUACUAUGAAAAAACUACUCUAAGGUCAGAUGCAACUUCUGGCUUAAUCACAACAGAAUUAAUGUUUGUUCGGUUGCUGGUUUUGUUUUGUGAACUGGCUGAGAUCUGUAGGUGAGUAUUAUGCAUGGGUACCCUUUCCAGGUGCCACUCAUCAAAUGCACACUAUAUGCCAUUACAGGCUGAGUAGAGUCCUUCAUUUCAUUGUAUCAUUGAAUCUCCAUAGGUUGGUGAUGUUGGUAUUACUGAUCCCAUUUGGGGAAAACUGAGGCUCAUGGGAGUGGGAGGCAGGGUUCCCAACCCAUGCCUUUUGCUCAGGGAGUUGCUGUCUCCUUAGAAGGAUGGUAAAGAAAUAUAAAAUAUCUGUCAUGAAUUAGGAAGAAUGUCCUAAAAUCUCAAGGUGCCAUUUAAAGGCAAAGACCAGUGUGGCUCGUGAGGGAAGGAGAGGCCAGACCAGGAGGUGACCACAAGCAGGUACAAGGCAGCCAGGCAUCCCAACGCAAUGCUGUGGUAAGAAAGCAAGGAGUAGAACAGCGUUGUGGAAAGUGAAAACCGCCUAGGAUGUGUGGGAGGCUGGAGGCAGAUGGGUGUGGAUGAGAAGGGCAAUAGGAGGGAUCCUUGUGUGAUGGAAAUGCUCUGUCUUUUCCCUGUAUCCAUGACUUGCCAUGAUAUUGUGGUAUAAGGUAGUUUUGCAAGACGUCGGCAUUGGGGGAAACUGGGUGAAGGGUACGUGAGAAUUCUAUGUGAAUCUAUACAAGUUUAAUUUUUAAAAUAUAUACAGAGUCUACUCCCAAAAAUGUAUAUACACUCCAAGAAAAGAAAUAUAGGAUGAUGUUUUUCCAACCCUCGUAUGGGGAAUCCUAGAGGAUGUCGUAUAUCGCAGAAAACCCACUCCACUGCUAGCCCUUAGAGAAGAAAUUAAAAGUACACGUGCAGCAAUUUCAAUGACCAAGGUUACACAAGCAGUAGUUGGCUGUACUAACAAAGUUCUGGAAGCCAGUGACCACACUUUGGCCACCUCUUGUAACUGUAGAGGCUGAAGGUAACUUACAUUAAACUCAUGAUGUCUCAAUAAAUUUAGUAUUAAAAUAUUUAUACAAGCUUUUCUUUUCUUGAAGUGCAUAUACUUUUUUGGUGAACUCUGUAUAUAUAUGGGAGAGAGAGUGGAGUUCACAGACCCCCAGCCCUUCACCCCUUGCAUGCACUCCAGGAGAAGCUUGCAUGGUGUCUUUUUGCAGCAAGGUAUCUUCAGGUGUCUGUCCUGGAUGCCUUUGGGCAGGACCAAGAGGAAUACAUGCCUGAGAGCUAGGCAGAUGGCACUCGGAGAGACAGAUGGCCAGAAUCCCCAGAGGUGGGAGCACUCACUGAGCACCUACUAGGUGCCAGGUGCUGUUCCAGGGCUAGAGACUGAGGUUAGGAAAGCUGGUGCAGCUUCCCACAGGUUUGCAUUGUACAGUUGAAGACAGAUGUAAACCAGGAACAGGGCAAUGCCAGGUGGUGACAGGUGCUGUGAAGAAGAUGAAAGAGCAGAGUGUGACAGAGUAGCUGGGGGCUGCUUUUGCUGGAGCAGUCAGGGAAGGCUUCUUUGAGGAAAACCUAAGUGAGAAGGAGGCAGCCAUGGGGACAUGUGAGGGAGAGUAUUCUAUGCAGGAGGAAGAGCAGGUGCAGGAUCUCUGAGACAGGAAUAAGCUUGUGCACGAGGGGCAAGAUGAAGACCAUAGGAAGGGAAGCACUGGCAUUGGGAGCUGGAGGGCGAUGAAGCUAAAAAGACAGGCAAAGGCCAGAUCCUAUAGGCAGGUGCUUGCAGAUGUUGGUAAGGAGUUGGUAUUGGGAGUCUCUGGCAGGUCUGAAGUAGGUACAUGGCCAGCUAUGUGUGGAUGGGUUUUAGAAGGGCAGGAGUGGAAAAUAGUAGACCACAUUGUACUACUGCAAUGGUCCAUGCAAGAGGGCAGUGUCAUGAGUAGGGCUUUGGCAUUGGCAUGGGAAACCUGUUGGAUUGGGGUUGCUCUGAGAGGAGAGCUAUCAGAGAUUUGCUGGUGGUUUACACAUGGAUGCGAUGGCAAGAAAAAGAUCCAGGAUGAUUCCCAGGUCUGCUGUUUCAUUCUAUCCCAGCUAACUCCAAAGGACUGGUCAGAGAAUGUCCUUCAGAGAAUAGCACUAAAAAUAGAUGAGAAUUGGGCUGAGCCUCAAAAAGUGUGGGUUGAAGGGGUGACCCCCUCACCAGUUUCACCACUCUGGUCCUUAGGCUCUUUCUUGCUGCAGGGAGCAGACCUGCUCUGCUUUUCUUGUACAUGGAGCUGAUUGUAAGAUGGUGGUGAGGUGAGGGGGUUUGGCAGCCAUCCUGGCAGUGGUCCUGUGACACCCAGGAGAACGGGGGCACAGUCUUCCCCCACCUAAGCAGCUAUCAGCAGACAUCAUAUACUGUCCAUGUCUCCACUGUUCUGAGCCAGCUGUGGUUUGGAGCCCCCUGCAGACAUGCUGCCUCCUCCUUCACUCUCUGGGCUGCACACUCCAGAUGCCCUGCAGGGAGAGUCUCCUAGGAUUGGCUGGUCCAUCCAGGCCAUGUCUGCAGGGCAGAGGGCUCGGGCCAGGCCAUUGCCAAGGCAGCUGGAGUCCUUGAUGCAUCCCCCAAAAGCCAUUGCCUUUGACUUGUUCUGGGCCUAGUUGUGGCCCAAGCAUCAUGGAACAGAAAAUGUGCAUAGCAGCACAAGUGCCCGGGGCUGGGUGUGACCUCCAGAGGUGUGGCAGGCAUUGGCAUAGACGUCCUGGACACAAAAGCUGUGCAAUUCAGGAAGGCCAGUGUCCAGUGGAUGAGAAGGACCUAACAUGUCAGUAAGGUGGACAGCUUCUGUCGGCAAAAGUGGGAGGCACGCAGAAAAUAACCUUGGAUUUGUGUAAUAGUAUCUCUUGUGAUGUGGGAUUAAUUUUAUCUUUGGUGCUGCAUCUUUGGUGGCCCAGGGAACGCUGCAUUUCUCCACUCUCUUCCGUCCAUCAAAGUGGCUCCUCAAAGAGCACUUCUCACAUUCCUCACCCCAAGGAUAGAACAGAAUCACCUCAAGCACAGAACCAUGGCCCUAGGGGACAUGGCCUUCACCUGCUUCCUUUUUAUCUGCCUCGCCUAAUUCAUCUUUCCUUUCUUUUUCUCCCUUAAUCCCUCGAAGUUAGCCAGGGAGGGGCAGAAAGGAAUCUUGGUUUUUGUCUGACUCUAUAGGAGUACAGUUGCUAGAACUGAACUGUGUUUCCCCUAAAUUCCUAGGUUGAGCCCGAAUCCUACUGUAAGUGUAUGUGGACAGAGGCCUUGAGGGGGGAAAGGGUCCUGCAGAGCACUGGUAUUCUUAGGAGAAGAGACGCUAGAGGUUGCUUCCUCCCCUGCACACACAGAGGAAAGUUCAUCGGGGUCAGACAGAAGGCAGAUGUCUACAAGCCAGGAAGAAAGUCCUCACUAGACAGCUAAUCCUCAGAACCUUGAUCUGAGACUCCGCAGCCUCCAGAACUUUGUGAAAUUACAC
Molecule: long non-coding RNA, 12220 nt
Filed under: Heterocephalus glaber (naked mole-rat)
Lineage: Eukaryota; Metazoa; Chordata; Mammalia; Rodentia; Bathyergidae
Description: lncRNA (ENSHGLG00000039308.1)
Source: RNAcentral